RNAcentral lists this long non-coding RNA (801 nucleotides) under Coturnix japonica (Japanese quail). RNAcentral describes it as "lncRNA (ENSCJPG00005009287.1)". The record is from RNAcentral. Lineage: Eukaryota; Metazoa; Chordata; Aves; Galliformes; Phasianidae.
AUGCAUUGCCAUUGUGGGUAUUACAUGUUUGUUUUCUGCCUUUUCAUUAUUUUUUUUUACUGUGCAGAAGCUUCAAAUGGGGAACUGGAAGAGAAGACAUCAAAUAAUAACGAGGCUUUGCCUUCUACAGUCAAAAGCUUUGCCUUUCUCCUGAGAAAGGAAUCGUGUACUGACGGAGGGGAAGACCAUCUUCUGGAUCCAACUGAAGUGAAUUCGUCAGGAACAGCUCCGUGCUCAUCACCAGGAAGUUCUAUUCCAGAAAGCAAACACUCCACUGGACCUGAUGGUGGUUCACCCUCUGAUCUUGAGCAUGCGCCUUUUGACGUGGAAGAUAGUGGUUCUGUUUGUAUGGUGAGGGAUGUGGCAACCACUGCGCAGACUAUAGAGGAAGAUGUUUCUGCUGUCUCAGAAGCUUCGGGGUCACAACUAGGAGUGCAGCCUUGGUCCUCUGAAGGAAUCUCAUCUCUUCCAUUACCACCACCUCCUUUUAAAGAGGAGUUGCAGGCUGCACCUUCCUGUAGCGCAGCUGAGGCCAUCUCAACCACUGAUAAACUGAUAAUGAAUGCAGAGGUUCCUUCCUACAUGCAGCAGUUUCCAGGUCAAGUAAUCAUUUCCUUUGAUGGGCAAGCUCUUUCUUCUGUAAAGCUGUCAUUAAAUGCAGACCAACUCUCAGGCCUGAAUGCUAAUGAUGCAAUGUUCCAGCCUGAGCAAAUGGGAACCAUAGCACCGAUGGAAUCAGCCGGGCAACCUUUUUGCUUCAGAGUGGAAUGUUGCAUUCUGGAUGAGACGCUGAACAACUGA